UCCUACGGGGGGCAGCAGUGGGGAAUAUUGCACAAUGGGGGAAACCCUGAUGCAGCGACGCCGCGCGAGUGAAGAAGUAUCUCGGUACGUAAAGCCCUAUCAGCAGGGAAGAAAAAAAGUCUUUGGCUUUGGACGGUACCUGACUAAGAAGCCCCGGCUAACUACGUGCCAGCAGCCGCGGUAAUACGUAGGGGGCAAGCGUUAUCCGGAUUUACUGGGUGUAAAGGGAGCGUAGACGGUUAUGCAAGUCUGAAGUGAAAGCCCAAGGCUCAACCAUGGGACUGCUUUGGAAACUGUAAAACUGG
This 305-nucleotide ribosomal RNA is filed under the name uncultured bacterium. Its description in RNAcentral is "partial 16S ribosomal RNA". It matches the Rfam family "Bacterial small subunit ribosomal RNA", at positions 337 to 644 of the family's 1533-position model. The record is from RNAcentral.